RNAcentral lists this ribosomal RNA (446 nucleotides) under uncultured bacterium. Its description in RNAcentral is "partial 16S ribosomal RNA". It matches the Rfam family "Bacterial small subunit ribosomal RNA", at positions 338 to 795 of the family's 1533-position model. The record is from RNAcentral.
UCUACGGGUGGCAGCAGUCGAGAAUCAUUCACAAUGGGGGAAACCCUGAUGGUGCGACGCCACGUGGGGGAAUGAAGGUCUUCGGAUUGUAACCUCCUGUCAUGUGGGAGCAAAUUAAAAAGAUAGUACCACAAGAGGAAGAGACGGCUAACUCUGUGCCAGCAGCCGCGGUAAUACAGAGGUCUCAAGCGUUGUUCGGAAUCACUGGGCGUAAGGCGGGCGUUGGCUGUUUCGUAAGUCGUGUGUGAAAGGCGCGGGCUAAAGCCGCGAAGGGCACAUGAUACUGCGAGAUUAGAGUAAUGGAGGGGGAACCGGAAUUCGCGGUGUAGCAGUGAAAUGCGUAGAUAUCGAGAGGAACACUCGUGGCGAAGGCGGGUUCCUGGACAUUAACUGACGCUGAGGCACGAAGGCCAGGGGAGCGAAAGGGAUUAGAUACCCUAGUAGUC